Paramuricea clavata is the source of this 2016-nucleotide non-coding RNA. NCBI's taxonomy places the organism in Eukaryota, Metazoa, Cnidaria, Anthozoa, Malacalcyonacea, Plexauridae. The record is from the annotation of a GenBank genome assembly.
GAAGCUCGCCUGGGAAAGCGCCGAGAAGUAUGGCAAAAAAAGACUGCUGAAGCGAAAGGUAAGCAAAGGCUUGUCUUCACAAUAUUUCUUCACAAUUUUCCAAUAAAGAGUUCGUCAAGACACGUCACGCUCAAGUCAGUAUAACCAGACUGUACUUUAUUGAUAUCAGUUAUCACAGCCACAGGCAAUUUUAUGCUGUCAAAUACCGUCGGUUGCAACUAAAGGUGAACAGUUGCAGAUAAAACAUUCUCUAUUCUCAUUAAAAAGCCUGUAUUAAAGGGUUUCCAGUAGGUCUCUAGCCCAACACGUUUAGACCACACAAAGUUUUUUUUUACUUAUUAUUGCACACAUGGGAAACAACAAUUAAGUGUUGUUGUUCUUGACAAACAUUGGAGAUUCUAAUCACGCAAAUGUUUUUAUGAGCAACUGUUCAUCGUUAGCUGCAAGCGACGGUACAACAUACUAUGAACAUUAUUCCGACUGUGACCGAAUGUGCAACGAUAUAAUUUUCAAAGUUGUUUAUAUCAAUUCCUAAAAUUUGUUUAUAGUAAAACGGCCUGCUCAGCACUCACUACUCACGUUGAUCUGAUUUCAUUUAGAAAUGCAGUUACCGGGAAAGGAACUGAUUCUAAAAUAUGUAAAUUUAAAAGCAUUGGCUAACAAUAAAGCGAUCGGUGAAGACAAGGUACAAACUUUUAUAGUUGCUAUUUGUUAUAAAAUCCUAUAAAUAUACCGAUUCAACAAUAACUUUGCCUCGAAUUUGCAUAUUCUAUGCUGCAUAUUUAUAUUUUAUUUUUAAAAAUAAAAUUGUAAUACUAUGAAAUAAAAUACAUUUCUGUUUAUUCAGCAGUACUUAUUUAAUGUCUUCUUCAUCCAGUGGUCAGAGUAAAUUUCUACUUCUAGCAAGUAAAUAUUUGACAAGCAGUCUGGAAUAAGCACAAGACUUUUAAUGCAUCAGCCAAAUCCAAGUGUGUCCAUCCCCCUCGCCCAGCUAUUUUCCUGUAAAGCACAUCCCGGGGGUUGGGCAUUUCCACUCGAACCUUAGCCCCGGUCAGGCAUUUGAAAUUAAUAAUUUGGAUUCUUGCACUUCACUUGUGGAAUUAAUAUUAGAAUGUUAGGGUUUGUAAUCCAAGUGAGAAUAUAUGCAUGUAUAUAUUUUGGAAUCCAAGUGAGAAUAUUUUGUAAUCCAAGUGAGAAUAUACAAAUGUAUAGUACAUGUAUAUAUUUUGUGUAUAUAUUUUGUAAUCCAAGUGAGAAUAGUUUGUAAUCCAAGUGAGAAUCCUAACAUUCCAAUUUUCCACCAAGUGAAGUGCAAGAAUCCAAAUUAUUGAAGUCCACCUUAUCACAACCCACACACCCGAUUACCUAAAUAUACAUGAACUUACGGUUACAGCUCAACAGCUGGCCUCUGUAGCUCAGUUGGUUAGAGCGCUGCACCGGAAUCGCAGGGCCGUAGGUUCAAUUCCUACCAGAGGACCUCGUGCUGCAUUUUUCGCAGUCGUUCCUGGUUAGGUCUUAAAAUGUGUAUAUGCUCACUUGGAUUACAAACCCUAACAUUCUAAUAUUAAUUCCAACAAGUGAAGUACAAGAAUCCAAAUUAUUGAAGUCCACCUUAUCACAACCCGCACACCUGAUUACCUAGAUAUACAUUUUAUAAAUAUAGGUUUUGCGAUCACUGAUAACUUGAUAAUAAUAUAAAACAAAGCACUUCUAUCUGCAACUUUUACAAUCACUGAUAACUUGAUAAUAAUUUAAACCAGUCAAGUUGUAGUUUAAAUAGAGAAUAAUACAUGGGUGCAUGAAAUACCAGAUUUAUUUCGAGUGUUGAACAUGAGUGUGCAGCGAACAAGUGGGCGCAGCGAACGAGUGAGAUGUCAUCUUCAACACGAAAAAUAAAUCUGGUAUUUCCAACCACCCAUGUAUUUUUCUGUUUAUUAUAUAAAGGACAGUCUUAAAUGAAAAGCGAUAAUUUUUACAGAAAAGCGAUAAUUGAAAAGGCGAUAAUUUUCACAUGUG